This 468-nucleotide ribosomal RNA is filed under the name uncultured bacterium. RNAcentral describes it as "partial 16S ribosomal RNA". It matches the Rfam family "Bacterial small subunit ribosomal RNA", at positions 28 to 507 of the family's 1533-position model. The record is from RNAcentral.
GACGAACGCUGGCGGCGCGCCUAACACAUGCAAGUCGAACGGAGCUGAGAGAAGCUUGCUUUUCUUAGCUUAGUGGCGAACGGGUGAGUAACGCGUGAGUAACCUGCCCUGGAGUGGGGGACAACAUUUGGAAACGACUGCUAAUACCGCAUAAACCCACGAUACGGCAUCGGAUUGAGGGAAAGGGAUUUAUUCACUUCAGGAUGGACUCGCCGCCAAGUAGAUAGUAGGUGAGGUAACGGCCCACCAAGGCGACGAUGGGUCGCCGGACUGAGAGGUUGACCGGAACCAUUGCGACUGACACCAGGAGCAGACCCUUAGGGGAGGACGAAGGGGGGGCUAUUGCACAAUGGGGGAAACAAUGAGGCAGCCGGGUCGCAUGGAGGAAGAAGGUUUGAGGAUCGUAGACUCCAGUCGUUAGCGACGCUAAUGACGGUAACUAACCAGAAAGCACCGGCUAACUACGUG